This 470-nucleotide ribosomal RNA is filed under the name uncultured Comamonadaceae bacterium. Its description in RNAcentral is "bacterial SSU rRNA". It matches the Rfam family "Bacterial small subunit ribosomal RNA", at positions 30 to 493 of the family's 1533-position model. The record is from RNAcentral. Lineage: Bacteria; Pseudomonadati; Pseudomonadota; Betaproteobacteria; Burkholderiales; Comamonadaceae.
AUUGAACGCUGGCGGAAUGCUUUACACAUGCAAGUCGAACGGCAGCACGGGGGCAACCCUGGUGGCGAGUGGCGAACGGGUGAGUAAUACAUCGGAACGUGCCCAGUCGUGGGGGAUAACGUAGCGAAAGCUACGCUAAUACCGCAUACGAACUCUGGUUGAAAGCGGGGGAUCGCAAGACCUCGCGCGAUUGGAGCGGCCGAUGGCAGAUUAGGUAGUUGGUGGGGUAAAGGCUCACCAAGCCGACGAUCUGUAGCUGGUCUGAGAGGACGACCAGCCACACUGGGACUGAGACACGGCCCAGACUCCUACGGGAGGCAGCAGUGGGGAAUUUUGGACAAUGGGCGCAAGCCUGAUCCAGCCAUUCCGCGUGCAGGAUGAAGGCCCUCGGGUUGUAAACUGCUUUUGUACGGAACGAAAAGGCCUGAGUUAAUACCUCGGGCUCAUGACGGUACCGUAAGAAUAAGCAC